UAAAAACUCACUUGAUAAAAGGUACGUGUAACUGUGUAUAAGACUUUAUUUACAUUUAUUCUGAAUAAGAUUUGUUCAACUAAAGCAAAUUAGAGUUAGAACUCAUUCUCUAUAAUUAAAUACAUUUAAAUUGAUUCAAUUAUUAAAAUAAUCAUAAUAACUGUGACUGGUAGACUAUAAUCUCAACUUUUGAAAUAAUUUUUAAGCUAUUUCAAACCAACACUAAUGGUGCUUGUCAAUCAAGUUUUCUCAUAUCUUAACAACUAUAACGUGUUAAGCCUAGAUCCAAAGUUUAGCCUUACCAUAGAAGAGGUCUAAGUGAACAACACAAAUGGCCUUAGCCCAUUUAAUAUUGGGCUAAUUUUCACUAAAUCCAGUCGUCAGGACCAAUUUUUUUGUUGGUUCAAUGAGCCCAACUCUGAUAACAAAUUUUUGGACAAUUUACAAAAAUACCCUUAAAAUUAGGAAGUCUUCUGAAAACUCAUAUAAAAGAAUUUUUAAUGGUAAAAAAUACUAUCUAAAAUUAAAAAGUGACACAAUGUCACUUUCUUUAUAAAAAUUGCCAAAAUGUCACUUUUUAUAUUACAACAAAAACAUACAAUCUCAUUUUUAUUAAACAGUAAUGUUUGUAACUAAAAAAAGUGAUAGAAAUUCCAGGAAGACAACUAAAAAAAGUGAUAAACACUAAUAGAAAAAGGUGAUAACGCCACUUUUACAAUGUCAUUGAUUUUAAAUGGAUAUGAUAUUUGUAACUCAUAAAUUGUAAAUCAAGUUGUAAAAUAACUUGUAUGAUAUAAAAAAUGAUAACCACUUAAAGAGGCGAUAAAAAUUCAAAAAAGUGACAAAUUCAAAAAAAAAAAUUACACAAAUUCAAAAAAGUAAUACAAAAUAAAAAAAGCGACACACUUUACCACAUUCUUCUUAAGUAAACACUUUGUAUGCAUUCAAUCUAAUUGAUUCAAAGUUUUUCUUUUCAUACGUAUUAAUAUAAAAUAAGG
This 998-nucleotide long non-coding RNA is filed under the name Olea europaea subsp. europaea. Lineage: Eukaryota; Viridiplantae; Streptophyta; Magnoliopsida; Lamiales; Oleaceae. The record is from RNAcentral.